CGUACGGGCGGCUGCAGUGGGGAAUAUUGGACAAUGGGGGCAACCCUGAUCCAGCCAUGCCGCGUGUGUGAAGAAGGCCCUCGGGUUGUAAAGCACUUUCAGUGAGGAAGAACGCCUGGUGGUUAAUACCCAUCAGGAAAGACAUCACUCACAGAAGAAGCACCGGCUAACUCCGUGCCAGCAGCCGCGGUAAUACGGAGGGUGCGAGCGUUAAUCGGAAUUACUGGGCGUAAAGCGCGCGUAGGUGGCUUGAUAAGCCGGUUGUGAAAGCCCCGGGCUCAACCUGGGAACGGCAUCCGGAACUGUCAAGCUAGAGUGCAGGAGAGGAAGGUAGAAUUCCCGGUGUAGCGGUGAAAUGCGUAGAGAUCGGGAGGAAUACCAGUGGCGAAGGCGGCCUUCUGGACUGACACUGACACUGAGGUGCGAAAGCGUGGGUAGCAAACAGGAUUAGAUACCCCUGUAGUC
Molecule: ribosomal RNA, 465 nt
Filed under: Vreelandella stevensii
Lineage: Bacteria; Pseudomonadati; Pseudomonadota; Gammaproteobacteria; Oceanospirillales; Halomonadaceae
Description: partial 16S ribosomal RNA
Rfam family: Bacterial small subunit ribosomal RNA
Source: RNAcentral